GUCCACGCCCUAAACGAUGAUAACUCGUUGUUGGCGAUACACAGUCAGCGACUAAGCGAAAGCAUUAAGUUAUCCACCUGGGAAGUACGACCGCAAGGUUGAAACUCAAAGGAAUUGACGGGGGCCCGCACAAGCGGAGGAGCAUGUGGUUUAAUUCGAUGAUACGCGAGGAACCUUACCUGGGCUUGAAAGUUAGUGACAUCCCGUGAAAGCGGGACUUCCGCAAGGACAUGAAACUAGGUGCUGCAUGGCUGUCGU
RNAcentral lists this ribosomal RNA (258 nucleotides) under uncultured bacterium. RNAcentral's name for it is "partial 16S ribosomal RNA". It matches the Rfam family "Bacterial small subunit ribosomal RNA", at positions 793 to 1055 of the family's 1533-position model. The record is from RNAcentral.